Small nucleolar RNA from Eremothecium gossypii ATCC 10895, 85 nucleotides. The record is from RefSeq. Lineage: Eukaryota; Fungi; Ascomycota; Saccharomycetes; Saccharomycetales; Saccharomycetaceae.
AAGUGUAUGAUGAUAUAAUUUGCGGUCUAGGGCGGCUACCCUGGGGCACAGCCAUGCUCCGCAAUGGGGUUGCCGCGGCAUGCGA